This 2258-nucleotide long non-coding RNA is filed under the name Trifolium pratense (red clover). Its description in RNAcentral is "long non-coding RNA (TPRA_LNC011463)". Lineage: Eukaryota; Viridiplantae; Streptophyta; Magnoliopsida; Fabales; Fabaceae. The record is from RNAcentral.
ACAUCAUAGCAAUCACAUAACACACAGGCUUGAUGGACAACCAACAAGUAGUUAAUUAAGCAUUGACAGUGUUGACACACAUGUCGCUUAACAGGGAUUAACAAAAUUAUAACUUGGUGUGACUAGACCGACCUGCUCUGAUACCAAUUGUAACACCCUUUAAUUUUCCCUUGAUUUUAUUUGCGAAGAAUUCAAUUUAGUUUAUUUCAUUAAAGGUGUCACCUACUUUUGAAUCGAAUACUUAAUUAAAUAAGGAUUAAGCAACAAAAAUAAAAUUAAAACCAAUAAACAUAAGUUCUAAAAUUUGAAGUAAAAAAUUAUUGAGAGCAAUAGAAUCAUUCCAAAAACCAAUUGACACUGUUCAAGUCAUUUUGAAGAAAUACUAAUUGAAUAUAUACGUGAAUCCCCCAAGACAUCCUAUCAGAGAGACUCAAUUACNNNNNNNNNNNNNNNNNNNNNNNNNNNNNNNNNNNNNNNNNNNCCCCGAACUCGGCAACUAUGACUCAUCGCCUACCUGAAAAUCUACGGUUGCACACCGUAGGGCCAAGCCAGAAAAAGGAAGCAACAAGGGGUCAAUAAUACAAUCACAAAUAAUAUCACAAACGAGCACAAUUAUUAAAAUAAAACAAUAAGUCAGCAAUAUCAACAUCCAUUCCAAUUUUUCAUCAUGUAGGAUCAACACCAAUUACAAAUUCCAGUUUUAUAUCAUGGAGGAUCACCACCAAUUCCAGUUUUAUAUCAUGGAGGAUCACCACAAAUUUCCAGUUUUAUAUCAUAGAGGAUCACCACCAAUUCCAGUUUUAUAUCAUGGAGGAUCACCACAAAUUCCAGUUUUACAUCAUGGAGGAUCACCACCAAUAGUUCGGCAACGUCAAUUGCAACGAUACAAAUUCAACACAAAUAGAGACAUCAUGAUUUCAACAUCAGUACGUCAACAUGGUUUAACAUCAUUAACAACAGCUACAGCCCACAUCAUAAGUCAACGGCUUAAAAUCAUCGGUUUAACUAAUAACUAUUAUUUAUAGAAUUUCAACGGUUUAACCCUCUCCCACUACUGUCAAAAUUAAUUAGAGUGAUUUAUUAACUCUACUGGGUAGCGACUGACCUAUACUCGAAACAGCCCGACACGAAACCUAAUGAAUUUAAAUUUAUCACCGAAUUUGCUAGGAAAAUUAUGCUGAGUUAAUAAAAGAAGGGUUACUCAAUUAUUAAAUUUUUGUCACAACCAAACCUAAACAAACCCCCGGAAGUUAUUUAUUAAUCUCUGGAAAGCAAGGAAAAGGUUUAAUUGUCGAUCUCGAUACAAAAUCAGGAACAUUGUACUUUUCCUUAAGUUAACAAACUUGCUGUAAAAAUCAUGUGAUAGAGCAGUUAGGUUCACAGAGCUACUGAGACAUGUAGGUAAGUGCUAAAAUUAUGAAAUUCGACAUACAUAAACUACUAUAUGUCCUCUUUCAAACGCAANNNNNNNNNNNNNNNNNNNNNNNNNNNNNNNNNNNNNNNNNNNNNNNNNNCCCUAGCUUAAGAUAUCAAUUUUCGAAGCUGACUGACUCAUAGGAGAUUAUAAAACAGAACUGUCAUUUUCAUAGUAUCACAAAACCAUGCACAAGUUAUAUUAAGUCCCCAAACCUUCCAGUAAUAUACUACUGCUUCUUAGCUUUAAGACCCAAUUGAGUUCACUCAAAAAUAUGUUUCCUAACUCAAGUUAUACCCAAUUUAAUCCAACUACAUCAUAAUCUCCUUAUGCAGAAAAUUACCCUAACUUCUCUCUUUCUUUCAUAAUAUUGUAUAUCACACGAAUCCAAUCAACAUAGCAGAGCACAAGAAUUCACACUUUAACAAAGCAUGAACAACAACAACAACAACACGUGUGAAGAAAAAGAAGAAACAAUCAACUCAUACUAUAAAAAAUUUAGAAACUUAGAUGAAAGAUUAAACCUCUUACUUGGAAUAGCAAUUAAUCUUUGGUUGUGAGUUUUGUUUUCCUCUUCUUUCUCUUCUCCCUCUCGUGCGUCAAUCUCUCUUUCUCCCUUGCUCCUCUAUUCUGUUUUUCUCUUCUCUUUUUUUUUUUUGUUGUAAAAAGUGGAUAGAUUUCAACUUUGUUUCUAACUUAGUCUAGUGGUUUCCUCCACAAGAAGGAAAAAUUCUGCUUUUAACUAUUCAUGGGUUUUCUUUCUACUAGGCCCAAUUUCAUUAUUUCUACUAUUCUUUCUUACUCACACCCCCUCUCCACCUAUUAUAUAAUUUCUACAACCCCG